UACAACGAAACUGCGAAUGGCUCGGUAAAACAGCAAUAAUUUAAUCGGGGAUAUACUACCGGAUAACCGUAGUAAAGCUAGAGCUAAUACGUUACUAGUACAAACGCGAUUGCCUUCUGGUAAUCGUGGUGCUAAGUAUUAGGUACAACCCAGUUUUUAACUGGUGAUUCAUACUUAUCGUCUGAUCACACCCUCGUGUGUGUGACGCCCCGAUUAAAUUUCUGACCUAUCAACUAUGAUGGUAAGGUAGGGUCUUACCAUGGUUGUGACGGGUAACGGACCGUGGGUGCGGGAUUCCGGAGAGGGAGCCUGAGAAACGGCUACCACAUCCAAGGAAGGCAGCAGGCGCGCAACUUACCCAAUCCGAAUUUCGGGAGGUAGUGACAAUAAAUAUCAAUAGGGGGACCAAUGGUCUUCCUAAUUGGAAUGAAAGCAAUGUAAACACCUCAUUGAGGAACCAGCAGAGGGCAAGUCUGGUGCCAGCAGCCGCGGUAAUUCCAGCUCUGUAAGCGUAUACCAAAGUUGUUGCAGUUAAAACGCUCGUAGUCGAAUUUUGACGUUAGUUUCUUUAGACCCCUGAUGGGUGUCUAGAGUUUUGCUGCGUCUUUGUGGAUUUGAGAUGCUUGGUGAUGCUUUAUUGUAUUACUGCAUUUUUGCCACUGUUUACUGUGAAAAAAUUAGAGUGCUUAAAGCGAGCGAUUUGCCAUGAAUACAUUAGCAUGGAAUAAUAGAAUAGGACCUGGUUCUGUUUCUAUUGGUUUGUCAGUUUCAGGUAAUGAUUAAGAGGGACGGUCGGGGGCAUUUGUAUUCCAGGGUUAGAGGUGAAAUUCUUAGAUCCUUGGAAGACACACAGCUGCGAAAGCGUCUGCCAAGGACGUUUUCAUUGAUCAAGAACGAAAGUAGGGGGAUCGAAGACGAUCAGAUACCGUCGUAGUCUCUACUAUAAACUAUGAGGACUAGAAAUUGGACGUGGCCUAUUUUUGGUACGUUCAGCGCCUUGAAGGAAACUAAAGUGUUUGCUUUCUGGGGGGAGUAUGGUCGCAAGUCUGAAACUUAAAGGAAUUGACGGAAGGGCAUCACCGGGUGUGGAGCCUGCGGCUUAAUUUGACUCAACACGGGAAAACUUACCAGGUCCAGACAUAGUGAGGAUUGACAGAUUGAGAGCUCUUUCUUGAUUCUAUGGUUGGUG
RNAcentral lists this ribosomal RNA (1189 nucleotides) under Herposiphonia sp. ARS-2010. RNAcentral's name for it is "SSU rRNA". It matches the Rfam family "Eukaryotic small subunit ribosomal RNA", at positions 77 to 1279 of the family's 1831-position model. The record is from RNAcentral. Lineage: Eukaryota; Rhodophyta; Florideophyceae; Ceramiales; Rhodomelaceae.